RNAcentral lists this ribosomal RNA (2631 nucleotides) under Triticum aestivum (bread wheat). RNAcentral's name for it is "partial small subunit ribosomal RNA". The record is from RNAcentral. Lineage: Eukaryota; Viridiplantae; Streptophyta; Magnoliopsida; Poales; Poaceae.
AUGGAUUGGCCCGCUCUCACCUGCUACACUGUGGUCCUGAUCAUUCUCUUCCUGCCAUUGCGGGCGUCCGACGACCGGCUUGUCCCUGGUGAGCGGCUCUUCCCUGGCACGACCAUCAUCUCCGAUGACGGUGCCUUCGCCUUGGGCUUCUUCAACCCCUCCAACUCCACUCCGGCCAGCCUGUACUUGGGCAUAUGGUACAACGGCAUACCGGAGCUCACUGUUGUGUGGGUCGCCAACAGGGAGACGUCCGUCACCAACAGCACUUCGUCUGCGCCGACACUCUCCCUCACCAACACCUCCAACCUCGUUCUCUCUGAUGGUAGCAGCGGCCGUGUCGUUUGGACGACUGAUGUGGCCGAUGCCUCAAGCUCCAUUGCAGCAGCAGCAGUGCUUGAGAACACCGGCAACCUCGUCGUCCGGUCACCGAAUGGCACCAUGCUGUGGCAGAGCUUCGACCACCUCACCGACACGUUCCUUCCUGAAAUGAAGAUACGGAUCAGCUAUGCCACGCGCGGCACCGGCAUCCGCCUGGUGUCCUGGAAGGGGCCCGACGACCCAUCAUCGGGGCGCUUCUCCUACGGAGGCGACCCGGACACGCUCCUCCAGUUAUUCCUCUGGGAUGGGGCCCGCCCGCUAGCCCGUAGAGGGCCAUGGACAGGGUACCUGGUGAAAGGCAAGCACCAAUACCAGCAGGUUAACGGCAGCUUGUCCGUCAUCAUCUACAUGGCCAUCGUCGACAACGAGGAGGAGAUCUACACCACUUACACAGUCUCUGCUGGCGCGCCACGCACGAGGUAUGUGGUGACCUACUCUGGAGAUUACCAGCUCCAGAGCUGGAGUACCAAUUCCUCAUCAUGGGUUAUCCUCGCCAAGUGGCCAUCCCUUGAGUGCAACCGGUAUGGCUUCUGUGGUCCGUAUGGCUACUGUGACCAGACAGCAACGCCCAUGCCGACAUGCAAGUGCCUUGAUGGCUUCGAGCCAGCAAGCACUGAUGAGUGGGCGGCUGGUAGGUUCUCGGCAGGGUGCCAGCGAAAGGAGGCAUUGCACGGAUGCGGUGACGGCUUCUUGGCCUUGAUGGAGAUGAAAGCGCCAGACAAGUUCAUGUUUGCUGGAGGGAACAUGAGCACAAUGGAGGAGUGUGCGGCGCACUGCACCCGCAAUUGCUCCUGUGUGGCGCACGCAUUCGCCAACCUGGACAGUGGCAGGUCUGGAGGAAACGUGACAAGGUGCUUGGUGUGGGCGGGGGAGUUGAUUGACACUGGGAAGUUCGGCGAAGGACUUGGCAGCACCACAUUAUAUCUCCGGCUUGCAGGCUUAGAUGCAGCAUCUGGUGCCAAAUUUUCUCCCUAUUUCUUGUUAUUUUGUCUAUACCAACACACUGUCAUGAUUAGAUCAUUCACUUGCCUUUUUAUGGUAUUUGUGCAUUGCACAGGUAAGAAGACAAAGAGCACUGCAGCUAUCAUUGUACUGGCAGUUUUAGGAACGGCUGUUGUGGCAGUCCUAUGCAUUUUUGUGGCAUGGCUAAAAUUCAAAGGCAAGAACACAAAGUGGAGAAAACACAAGACGCGUACAUUUGAUGGUAUAAGUACCUCUUAUGAACCAGGGGAAGGAAACUCUCCACAUGAUCAUGAAUUUCCAUUUGUAAGUUUCGAGGAAAUUUCUCUAGCAACAAACAAUUUCUCUGAGACAUGUAUGAUUGGACAGGGAGGAUUUGGAAAGGUCUACAAGGUAUUAUUAGGUGGGCAAGAAGUUGCUGUCAAGAGGCUAAGUAGUGAUUCUCAACAAGGAACAAAGGAAUUCAGGAAUGAAGUAAUUUUAAUUGCCAAAUUGCAACACAGAAACUUGGUUCGACUUCUCGGAUGUUGUGGGGAGGGAGAUGAAAAGUUGCUGAUCUAUGAGUAUCUUCCUAACAAAAGCUUAGAUGCUACCCUUUUUGAUGAUUCAAGAAGAAUGAUGUUGGAUUGGACAUCACGGUUUAAUAUAAUCAAAGGGGUUGCAAAGGGACUUCUGUAUCUCCACCAAGAUUCAAGACUAACUAUAAUUCAUAGGGAUCUCAAAGCCGGAAAUGUUUUGCUAGAUGCAGAGAUGAAACCGAAGAUAGCAGACUUCGGUAUGGCGAGGAUCUUUGGAAAUAACCAACAAGAUGCAAGCACCCAACGUGUUGUGGGAACAUAUGGAUACAUGGCCCCAGAAUAUGCAAUGGAAGGUGUCUUCUCCACCAAGUCCGAUGUCUACAGCUUUGGUGUGCUAGUACUUGAGGUUGUGACUGGUAUAAAAAGAAGCUCCAAUAGUCACAUCAUGGGCUUCCCGAGCCUCAUUGUGUAUUCAUGGAAUAUGUGGAGGGAAGGAAAGACAGAGGAUUUGGUGGACACAUAUAUCAUGGAUACUUGUUCACUGGAUGAAGUUUUGAUUUGCAUCCAUGUAGCACUCAUGUGUGUCCAGGACAAUCCAGAUGACAGGCCACUCAUGUCGUCCGUUGUGUUCGUCCUAGAGAACGGAAGCAGCACACUUCCACCCCCUACUUGCCCUGCCUACUUUACACGACGAAGUGCAGAAAUGGAGCAAAUUAGAGAUGAUAUCCUGAACUCCAGGACCAGUUUUACUCUCACUGAGAUUGAGGGUAGAUGA